RNAcentral lists this ribosomal RNA (1492 nucleotides) under Lacticaseibacillus paracasei. RNAcentral's name for it is "bacterial SSU rRNA". It matches the Rfam family "Bacterial small subunit ribosomal RNA". The record is from RNAcentral. Lineage: Bacteria; Bacillati; Bacillota; Bacilli; Lactobacillales; Lactobacillaceae.
GAUGAACGCUGGCGGCGUGCCUAAUACAUGCAAGUCGAACGAGUUCUCGUUGAUGAUCGGUGCUUGCACCGAGAUUCAACAUGGAACGAGUGGCGGACGGGUGAGUAACACGUGGGUAACCUGCCCUUAAGUGGGGGAUAACAUUUGGAAACAGAUGCUAAUACCGCAUAGAUCCAAGAACCGCAUGGUUCUUGGCUGAAAGAUGGCGUAAGCUAUCGCUUUUGGAUGGACCCGCGGCGUAUUAGCUAGUUGGUGAGGUAAUGGCUCACCAAGGCGAUGAUACGUAGCCGAACUGAGAGGUUGAUCGGCCACAUUGGGACUGAGACACGGCCCAAACUCCUACGGGAGGCAGCAGUAGGGAAUCUUCCACAAUGGACGCAAGUCUGAUGGAGCAACGCCGCGUGAGUGAAGAAGGCUUUCGGGUCGUAAAACUCUGUUGUUGGAGAAGAAUGGUCGGCAGAGUAACUGUUGUCGGCGUGACGGUAUCCAACCAGAAAGCCACGGCUAACUACGUGCCAGCAGCCGCGGUAAUACGUAGGUGGCAAGCGUUAUCCGGAUUUAUUGGGCGUAAAGCGAGCGCAGGCGGUUUUUUAAGCCUGAUGUGAAAGCCCUCGGCUUAACCGAGGAAGCGCAUCGGAAACUGGGAAACUUGAGUGCAGAAGAGGACAGUGGAACUCCAUGUGUAGCGGUGAAAUGCGUAGAUAUAUGGAAGAACACCAGUGGCGAAGGCGGCUGUCUGGUCUGUAACUGACGCUGAGGCUCGAAAGCAUGGGUAGCGAACAGGAUUAGAUACCCUGGUAGUCCAUGCCGUAAACGAUGAAUGCUAGGUGUUGGAGGGUUUCCGCCCUUCAGUGCCGCAGCUAACGCAUUAAGCAUUCCGCCUGGGGAGUACGACCGCAAGGUUGAAACUCAAAGGAAUUGACGGGGGCCCGCACAAGCGGUGGAGCAUGUGGUUUAAUUCGAAGCAACGCGAAGAACCUUACCAGGUCUUGACAUCUUUUGAUCACCUGAGAGAUCAGGUUUCCCCUUCGGGGGCAAAAUGACAGGUGGUGCAUGGUUGUCGUCAGCUCGUGUCGUGAGAUGUUGGGUUAAGUCCCGCAACGAGCGCAACCCUUAUGACUAGUUGCCAGCAUUUAGUUGGGCACUCUAGUAAGACUGCCGGUGACAAACCGGAGGAAGGUGGGGAUGACGUCAAAUCAUCAUGCCCCUUAUGACCUGGGCUACACACGUGCUACAAUGGAUGGUACAACGAGUUGCGAGACCGCGAGGUCAAGCUAAUCUCUUAAAGCCAUUCUCAGUUCGGACUGUAGGCUGCAACUCGCCUACACGAAGUCGGAAUCGCUAGUAAUCGCGGAUCAGCACGCCGCGGUGAAUACGUUCCCGGGCCUUGUACACACCGCCCGUCACACCAUGAGAGUUUGUAACACCCGAAGCCGGUGGCGUAACCCUUUUAGGGAGCGAGCCGUCUAAGGUGGGACAAAUGAUUAGGGUG